AGCCGGACUUGGCCGGGAAGCCAGACACUUCCUGUUACCCGAAGCCUACAUGCGGGGGCGACAGCCGGGAAAGGGCAACCAGACUUCUGGCAGGCCCUGUGGAAUCAAUGACGUUCUGUCCCUUCGGAUCGAAGGUUCGGGAAUUGCAGAUCGAAGGAACUGCAGAUCCCGAUUUACCAGGAGAACCCGUCAGGACCGGAAGGGAGCACCGGUAUCCUGGACUCUUGAUGCUGAAGGGGUGCGGGAUCGAGAGGAAGCAGGGGGCACCUGUCAGGACAUCUGGUCCGAUCCCGGUGAGUCCGGUU
This 305-nucleotide signal recognition particle RNA is filed under the name Thermoplasmatales archaeon A-plasma. RNAcentral describes it as "Archaeal signal recognition particle RNA". It matches the Rfam family "Archaeal signal recognition particle RNA". Lineage: Archaea; Methanobacteriati; Thermoplasmatota; Thermoplasmata; Thermoplasmatales. The record is from Rfam by way of RNAcentral. RNAcentral also lists the same sequence under 1 other name.